RNA transcript from Xenia sp. Carnegie-2017, 894 nucleotides. It is a transcript of the gene named eukaryotic translation initiation factor 2 subunit 1-like, with no coding region annotated. The record is from RefSeq and is a predicted model, not a curated record. Lineage: Eukaryota; Metazoa; Cnidaria; Anthozoa; Malacalcyonacea; Xeniidae. The transcript is spliced from 5 exons.
UCCCAUUUCACCACCAACCUAUGUUGUCAUGACAACAAAAAUGAAUCGAGAAGAAGGUUUGAAAGCUUUGGAAACAUCUAUCAAAGCCAUUGAAGAAGUCAUUAUGAACAAGAAAGGAACAUUUGUUCUACAACAAGCUCCAAAGGCUGUCACAGAUAUAGAUGAAGCAGAUUUUGCAAAGGAACUGGAAAAACUUGAAUGUCAAAAUGCAGAAGUUGAUGGUGAUGAUGAUAAUCCUGAUGAUGAAGAAUAACAAGAGCUUGUUUUGACUCUUGGGAGAUGUUUCCAUCACGAAAGUCAAAGUGUAAGUGAUAUCUGACGAUGUCAUGAGCUCGACGCAGUUUAUAAACAUUUACAAGAACCAAUCAAAACCUUGUGAUUUCACCACCCAAAGAAAAUUCUGAUUCUGAUCAUAAUUAUGUACAUUGACGCCCACCAUUCUGUGACGUAAAUCGAUGAAGGUAAAGCGAACAUCUUCACAUCUUCAUGUUGUCAGGUUGAGAUUUCUACUUCAGAAGAGAGGUUGCUGUAAGAGUUAUUAUAGAACUCAAUGGAUAUACUACACAACAAAACUGGUGUGAAGAAUUAAAUCCGAUCAUUCCGAAGUAAAGUGUUGCUGGAAGAUGAGUAAUUUCCUUAGAUUUAUUCUCUUUUACACGCAUAUUGCUUGUGGUGAGCCCUGCAGUUUUCAACACCAAUGACUAACGCAUGCGCAUUAGAGUAAAAGCGAUUUUUUCUUGCUGUGAAACAAGAAAAAAUGAGAGUCCCCCAUUGGCCAUGUCAAGAAACAGUGGCUGCUGCAGAAGUUAAUGAUAAAUCAAUUAGGAACUGGAUAAAUGAACAAUUGUAAUUUAUAUAGUCAAUCAAUUUUAUCUAUUUUAUUUGUUGUACCAA